Molecule: long non-coding RNA, 961 nt
Filed under: Rosa chinensis
Lineage: Eukaryota; Viridiplantae; Streptophyta; Magnoliopsida; Rosales; Rosaceae
Description: sRNA RchiOBHm_Chr2g0163371
Source: RNAcentral
UGCUUCUCAGUCAAUAUUAGAAGACUCUCUGUAAGUCAAUAUUUCGUUGAGGAUCUGCUUCUACUUAUUUACAGUUUUGUUGAAUCUUUGUUCUGUUUUUCUUAGUACUCUAGUGUGGUGUAAAGGUAUAACAGGUUUCCAUUUCAAUAAUUGUAACUUGUACACUUAUAGAUCAAGUAUUGACUCCUGCAUAUCUUUUUUAGCUUGGUGAGAAGACCACUACGCUCUUUGUUAAAGUCAAAGUUAAAAGGCCACACAGGUUGCUCUAUCUAAUUGUUUAUGAUCAUGUCCUACUCAAGUAUCUGAUGGUAGAGAUUGACUCAUUGCUCAAGAAAAAGUAUUGCGAUGCACUACUUAGUUUGGAUGAACUUGUCAAGUUAUUUUCUACUAGUAUAUGCUCGUUUUCAUGUUUGAUGAUUGGUAAUUAACUUUGCUAUAGAUUGCUAUAGAUGAUUGGUGAUUAACAUCUGGUUGACUCUGUGAAGCAAAAUUUAGACAUAGAAAUUAGAUAUUGAUGGGAAGAUAACUUCUGUUCUUUUUCUCCUAUAGAGGUUGGUGGACAAAAUUAAAAGUUUCUUUCUCCUAUGCAAUUUCGAGCAAGUCUCUUUUGCUUCACAAAUGAGAAAUAGCUGCAACAUUUCAAUCAAGUAUUAGAUGAUGUAGACCUCUUUUGCAUUCUCUAUUUUUAUUUUUAAGUGAGAAUUUUUCCUCUAUGUUUUAAAGUUAAGUUCUUGUGGGUGAUGUUUUCAGCAUGUUUUUACAUGAGUUUCUGGUCACCUAAACUUGGUGGAAUAAUUGCUUUUCCUCAAUGAACUUGUUAAGCUAAUAUUCAGAUGGGUACACUUUUGUUCAGUUGAGGUUUCACUCUUCUGUUAUUCGCUAUUUUGUUUUGUUCGGAAAUGCUGAAGUGAGAUUGGGGAAGAAUAGUGUGGAGGAGGUUUUGGAAUUGGGUCCUCUCUGA